Parasteatoda tepidariorum (common house spider) is the source of this 205-nucleotide long non-coding RNA. The record is from RefSeq and is a predicted model, not a curated record. NCBI's taxonomy places the organism in Eukaryota, Metazoa, Arthropoda, Arachnida, Araneae, Theridiidae.
CUUUUUAGAUCAUUGCUCGUAAAAAGGAUACUGGUUCUUUCUCAACUGGAGUGGGAACGCCUGAAUACAAGAGACCUCGUUAUUAAAAAGUUCCAGUAUCAUCUGGUAUAUAUGCCUAUUUCAAAUAUAUAUUCUCUUUGUAUUUACUCAUAUGUCAAUGUCUGUAUAUAUAUUAAUCUGAAAUAAAUUAAUGAUAUUAGUCUGA